UGGGCAUGUGACAGCUAGAUAAAUGAGUUCUUUUAAUUGGCUUAGUGAACAUGAGUGGCUGAGUCUAUAUUGUUAGGGUCACCAAAGGACUAGGGCAGAUUCUGUCCUCAUUCUAUAGAUGGUGAAACUGAGCCUCAGAGUGUUAAGUCAGUACUGAAAAGAUAUGUGGAACUGCUCUUCUUAUUCCUGCUGUGUUUCCAGGGACUCAGUGAAUGAAGUGAAAGUCACCUCAGAAAGACAUGGAGGCACAGGUCUGCAAUCAUGGUGCUUGGAAAGUGGAACAGGCCAAAAGAGCUGAUAAAUUCCCUGCUUUGACAGUACCUAAUAUUAGCAAUGAACAUUGAGGAACCAGUCUGGAAUGCUGUACUGUCGUGGGUUCUGCAUGAUGGUGAUCACUCGCUCCACCUCAUCCUCCGUGAGUUCUCCAGCCCUCUUGGUGAGGUCGAUGUCUGCUUUCCUCAACACCAGAUGAGCAUAUCUCUGCCCCACGCCCUUAAUGGCAGUGAUGGCAAAGGCUAUUUUCCGCAGCCCAUUGAUGUUGGUGUUUGUAAAGGGCUGCAAUCUAUGUGCCGCCACUAGAUGGUGCUAAACCUCUUUGUGCGCAGCUGCGAGAGCACAGCCUGCCAAAGUCACCAGUCCGUCUCCGGGGCUUUUGCCCAACCCCUGGGGGCUUUAACCUAUCCCCAGGGUGCAUGAGGAUCAUGGGUGUUGCUACCAGUCCUAGUUUAGACACGUCACCAAAAGUAUUUAAGCCACACACUUUCUGAGCCUUCUUUGUCUACCUCAAUAUGA
Molecule: long non-coding RNA, 792 nt
Filed under: Mus musculus (house mouse)
Lineage: Eukaryota; Metazoa; Chordata; Mammalia; Rodentia; Muridae
Description: predicted gene, 48116
Source: RNAcentral